RNAcentral lists this ribosomal RNA (486 nucleotides) under uncultured bacterium. Its description in RNAcentral is "partial 16S ribosomal RNA". It matches the Rfam family "Bacterial small subunit ribosomal RNA", at positions 28 to 507 of the family's 1533-position model. The record is from RNAcentral.
GAUGAACGCUGGCGGCGUGCCUAAUACAUGCGAGUCGAACGCUGGAGAUCUAGCUUGCUAGAUCGAAGGAGUGGCGAACGGGUGAGUAAUACAUAAGCAACCUACCCACGAAGACUGGGAUAAUCUCUGGAAACGGGGACUAAUACCGGAUAGGUAAUCGGAAGGCAUCUUCUGGUUAUUAAAGGUUAAAAACACUGGUGGAUGGGCUUAUGGCGCAUUAGUUAGUUGGUGAGGUAACGGCCCACCAAGACGAUGAUGCGUAGCCGGCCUGAGAGGGUGAACGGCCACAUUGGGACUGAGACACGGCCCAGACUCCUACGGGAGGCAGCAGUAGGGAAUUUUCGGCAAUGGGGGCAACCCUGACCGAGCAACGCCGCGUGAGUGAAGACGGCCUUCGGGUUGUAAAGCUCUGUUGUAAGGGAAGAACGGUAGAUAGAGAAUAUCUAAGUGACGGUACCUUACCAGAAAGCCACGGCUAACUACGUG